RNAcentral lists this ribosomal RNA (497 nucleotides) under uncultured bacterium. RNAcentral describes it as "partial 16S ribosomal RNA". It matches the Rfam family "Bacterial small subunit ribosomal RNA", at positions 28 to 507 of the family's 1533-position model. The record is from RNAcentral.
GACGAACGCUGGCGGCGUGCCUAAUACAUGCAAGUUGAGCGCUGAAGGUUGGUACUUGUACCAACUGGAUGAGCAGCGAACGGGUGAGUAACGCGUGGGGAAUCUGCCUUUGAGCGGGGGACAACAUUUGGAAACGAAUGCUAAUACCGCAUAAAAACUUUAAACACAAGUUUUAAGUUUGAAAGAUGCAAUUGCAUCACUCAAAGAUGAUCCCGCGUUGUAUUAGCUAGUUGGUGAGGUAAAGGCUCACCAAGGCGAUGAUACAUAGCCGACCUGAGAGGGUGAUCGGCCACAUUGGGACGGAGACACGGCCCAAACUCCUACGGGAGGCAGCAGUAGGGAAUCCUCGGCAAUGGACGAAAGUCUGACCGAGCAACGCCGCGUGAGUGAAGAAGGUUUUCGGAUCGUAAAACUCUGUUGGUAGAGAAGAACGUUGGUGAGAGUGGAAAGCUCAUCAAGUGACGGUAACUACCCAGAAAGGGACGGCUAACUACGUG